This 70-nucleotide transfer RNA is filed under the name Ocypode cordimanus. RNAcentral's name for it is "tRNA-Arg". The record is from RNAcentral. Lineage: Eukaryota; Metazoa; Arthropoda; Malacostraca; Decapoda; Ocypodidae.
UUUAUUAGAAAGCGAAGUAUUGCAUUUAGUUUCGACCUAACCCUUAGGCUUUUCAGCCUUCUAAUUUGAU